AGAAUGUUUUUGCUGGUGUCCUGCAAGUCUGUGGCCUGGUUCUCCUGGGCUCCAGGGAUGGAGGGGGAGGGAGGGCGCAGGCUGUACAGGGGGAGGGAGAG
Long non-coding RNA from Alosa sapidissima (American shad), 101 nucleotides. RefSeq lists it as uncharacterized. The record is from RefSeq and is a predicted model, not a curated record. Lineage: Eukaryota; Metazoa; Chordata; Actinopteri; Clupeiformes; Clupeidae. The transcript has 3 exons.